UGCAGCUACUAACCUUCCUUCCUUCCUUUUUCAGCUCUAGAGUGGAGGAGGAACCCUCCAAAGACUGAUGACAGCGCUGUACACCCCCAGAAGUCUCGCCCUUUCCUGUCACCCGAUUAUAAAAGAAACAAAACAAUCAGAAGGCGGCAGUCAUUACACAGACUGCUACUGUUGGAGCCAGAUUGCCUGCAGGAGCAACCUGAACUGCGAAGCUAUCAUGUCAUCGGGAUGACCAGCCACAUUUGUGUAUGCAUGUACAGUACAGCAGACAUUAUUAAUCUGCAGAGACCUGAAGACAUGUUCAACCUCAGCACCAGACUGGGACAGUGUGAGAUUUGUUUACAGUGGCUAGAGUGCAAAUCCUGCCACCAACCCCAGAGUUUUCCCUGCAAGUUGGGGGACCUGCUUGCAAGGCUGGAUGCAGAAUAACGUCAUACCCCGGAAGAAGUGAUUGCAGGUGAAGAUAUUGCUGGGCUCCAUUUAUGUUAAUCAGUUUUAAACCCCUUUGUUCUCUGGUCUGUAUAAACAAUUCUGUGUCUUUAUGGGUACACAUUAUGUAAUCAAUAAUUUGUGAAGUUUGUAUUUGCAUUUUACCUGAUGACUGUGGCGAAGCACGUUAGGGAUCUGUGGUGGUGCAGGUUCAUUAAAUAAGAUGGUGUGGCUCAGGCUCCGGUGGUGUAGUAGGGUAGCCAUGUGGCCCCAGAGUGUUUAAUGAGGAAACUGGCUAAUCACAUUUGCACGUACUGUAAAUACACGAUUAGUUUAGCUAGUUUCCCCUUUGACACUCCACAGGUCAUUAAGCAAAGCACCUGAACCCAAUGGUUACAAAGGAGCCUGAGCAGGAUAGAUGAGGAAAUGAACUAAAAGAAAGAAAAAUUAAAGGAGUAUGAUGGGAAAACAAGUGGACGGAAUCAGAUGGCGAGACAGUGCAGAAAGAAAGUUGGUUGAGGCAAUCAAAGUGUGGACUGGGACAUUCCUGCUGAACAAUGAAGAGCAGAAGUGAUGAAAGGCUCUUAGGGACCCCCUCUGACACGGAGGGAGGUGUAGGGAAGACAGAGUCAGGUUCAGUGCGUGUCGUGGCUGGGACUGAAAAUCAGUUGUCUACUUAUUUGGUUGGGGUCUCCACCUAGAUGAGUAUACCUAGAAAAUGGGUGAGCUGGGCAAGUUGAGAGUGGGAGAGAAAUGCACUCUGACAGAGACCCUUUUUGAUCCAUUGCUGGUGGUUCCAGACUUCUUCCAUUUCACAGUUUUUGAAGUCACUGCGCUCCUGGGACCACUCAAAGCCUUAGCCACUCCUGCCUUGAUCUGUGCCUCCCCACAGUUUAACUAUGGAGGUCUACAGACAGUUCCUUUGACUCCUGAUAUCCAGUCCAUUCAAUUUGCUACAGGGGGAUUUUGAUUACGUUCUAGACACAUUUCAAGGAGGCUGAAAACAAACAGGAUACACAAGACCACAAUUUGAAAUGUCAAGGUCUGAAUACUUGAAUGAAUGAGAGAUUUCAGUUUUUGAUUUUUAAUAAA
Molecule: long non-coding RNA, 1521 nt
Organism: Polypterus senegalus (gray bichir)
Lineage: Eukaryota; Metazoa; Chordata; Cladistia; Polypteriformes; Polypteridae
Exons: 3
Source: RefSeq, a predicted model, not a curated record